RNAcentral lists this ribosomal RNA (497 nucleotides) under uncultured bacterium. RNAcentral's name for it is "partial 16S ribosomal RNA". It matches the Rfam family "Bacterial small subunit ribosomal RNA", at positions 28 to 507 of the family's 1533-position model. The record is from RNAcentral.
GAUGAACGCUGGCGGCGUGCCUAAUACGUGCAAGUCGAGCGAACGGACGAGAAGCUUGCUUCUCUGAUGUUAGCGGCGGACGGGUGAGUAACACGUGGAUAACCUACCUAUAAGACUGGGAUAACUUCGGGAAACCGGAGCUAAUACCGGAUAAUAUUUUGAACCGCAUGGUUCAAAAGUAAAAGACGGUCUUGCUGUCACUUAUAGAUGGAUCCGCGCUGCAUUAGCUAGUUGGUAAGGUAACGGCUUACCAAGGCAACGAUGCAUAGCCGACCUGAGAGGGUGAUCGGCCACACUGGAACUGAGACACGGUCCAGACUCCUACGGGAGGCAGCAGUAGGGAAUCUUCCGCAAUGGGCGAAAGCCUGACGGAGCAACGCCGCGUGAGUGAUGAAGGUCUUCGGAUCGUAAAACUCUGUUAUUAGGGAAGAACAUAUGUGUAAGUAACUGUGCACAUCUUGACGGUACCUAAUCAGAAAGCCACGGCUAACUACGUG